Molecule: ribosomal RNA, 320 nt
Filed under: uncultured eukaryote
Lineage: Eukaryota
Description: partial 18S ribosomal RNA
Rfam family: Eukaryotic small subunit ribosomal RNA
Source: RNAcentral
CCCCUAGAUGUUCUGGGCCGCACGCGCGCUACACUGAACAGUUCAACAAGUCUUAACCUUGGCCGAUAGGUCUGGGUAAUCUUUGAACGCUGUUCGUGAUUGGGAUAGACCUUUGCAAUUAUGGGUCUUCAACGAGGAAUUCCUAGUAAACGCAAGUCAUCAGCUUGCAUUGAUUACGUCCCUGCCCUUUGUACACACCGCCCGUCGCACCUACCGAUUGAAUGGUCCGGUGAAAUCUCGGGACGGCGGCUUGGUCGCUUGCGUCCGACUGCUGAAACUUGAUUAAACCAUAUCAUUUAGAGGAAGGUGUANUCGUAACA